Dermacentor silvarum is the source of this 796-nucleotide long non-coding RNA. RefSeq lists it as uncharacterized. The record is from RefSeq and is a predicted model, not a curated record. The transcript has 3 exons. Lineage: Eukaryota; Metazoa; Arthropoda; Arachnida; Ixodida; Ixodidae.
UCACUUUGAAGCGUUUCGCAAGGCUUGAAAGCUCGACUCUACUUCAGUACAUCUCAUUGCACCUGUAAUGUUUCGUCACCCAGAUGCCCAGCCAAUGAACCCCAAGGAGGAGCGAACCUGCACGAGCGGUUUCUGCGGUCGGUAGCCCGCUCUGAGAGCCUUCAAUGGCUGCAGGGGACCUACGGGGACGCCGUGACCACAGCCAUUGUGUGGUUGCACGAGGCCUACUCGUCGGGGGUCGCGAUCCUGAUUCUGCCUGUUUUGAUCAGCUGGCUACUUUCAAGCGACAGCGUAAGGAAGUUGCUUCAUCAUGGGGAAGUCUGGCUUGAAUGGAGCUUUGCCACUGGCAGUAACUGGCUGCAGUUCAAUCCCGGGCCUGCGACUGUUGUCUCAGAAUCUUCUCCUAGCAAAGCGUCGCCUACCAGGAAGAAAGUGCCAGACGACGAUCCUCGGUACGACGUCAUAACGCUGCCCUUCGACAAGCCAGUGAAGGAAUUCGUGACCACCACCAGCGCCGUAGUGACCUCGCUGUUCGAAUCCACUCCCCGGGAAUCUGAAUCUCCGGGACGAGACGUCCCAGACAACAUGGCGCCCACAUGUCCCAAAUAAAGGGCGCCGUGCCUGCUGACAGGGAUGAAUAAGCGCGAUUUCAUUUCGCAAGUCAUCAUCGCUUUCCGUCAUCGCAUUUUCCUCUCGCCACCUGCUCACCGCAGAUCUUAGCAUCUCCUUCGAAAUGACGUGUUAAGCAAGGCGCAUUUUUUUCUUUCGCCUGGUGGCAAGCGCCUCUUUCAAAUGA